AUGAAAAUACGGCUUCGGUCUGAUCUGCCAUAGUCAAGCACCAGAGAGCCCAG
RNAcentral lists this ribosomal RNA (53 nucleotides) under Yarrowia lipolytica CLIB122. Its description in RNAcentral is "rRNA YALI0_D23760r". Lineage: Eukaryota; Fungi; Ascomycota; Dipodascomycetes; Dipodascales. The record is from RNAcentral.